RNAcentral lists this ribosomal RNA (253 nucleotides) under uncultured bacterium. RNAcentral describes it as "partial 16S ribosomal RNA". It matches the Rfam family "Bacterial small subunit ribosomal RNA", at positions 524 to 776 of the family's 1533-position model. The record is from RNAcentral.
UACGUAGGGUGCGAGCGUUAAUCGGAAUUACUGGGCGUAAAGCGUGCGCAGGCGGUCUUUUAAGCCAGAUGUGAAAUCCCCGGGCUUAACCUGGGAACUGCGUUUGGAACUGGAAGGCUAGAGUACGGCAGAGGGGGGUGGAAUUCCACGUGUAGCAGUGAAAUGCGUAGAGAUGUGGAGGAAAACCGAUGGCGAAGGCAGCCCCCUGGGCCUGUACUGACGCUCAUGCACGAAAGCGUGGGGAGCAAACAGG